AACGAACGCUGGCGGCAGGCCUGACACAUGCAAGUCGAACGCUCCGCAAGGGGAGUGGCGCACGGGUGAGUAACACGUGGGAACCUACCCUCUGGUACGGAACAACCAAGGGAAACUCUGGCUGAUACCGUAUACGACCUCCGGGUGAAAGAUUGAUCGCCGGAAGAGGGGCCCGCGUUCCGAUUAGGUAGUUGGUGAGGUAACGGCUCACCAAGCCUGCGGUCGGUAGCUGGUCUGAGAGGANGACCAGCCACACUGGGACUGAGACACGGCCCAGACUCCUACGGGAGGCAGCAGUGGGGAAUCUUGCGCAAUGGGCGAAAGCCUGACGCAGCGACGCCGCGUGAGGGAUGACGGCCU
Molecule: ribosomal RNA, 360 nt
Filed under: uncultured bacterium
Lineage: Bacteria
Description: bacterial SSU rRNA
Rfam family: Bacterial small subunit ribosomal RNA
Source: RNAcentral